RNAcentral lists this ribosomal RNA (180 nucleotides) under uncultured bacterium. RNAcentral's name for it is "partial 16S ribosomal RNA". It matches the Rfam family "Bacterial small subunit ribosomal RNA", at positions 335 to 507 of the family's 1533-position model. The record is from RNAcentral.
GGGCCUACGGGAGGCAGCAGUGAGGAAUUUUGCGCAAUGGGGGAAACCCUGACGCAGCAACCCCGCUUGAGUGAUGAAGGCUUUCGGGUCGUAAAGCUCUGUUGUGUGGGAAGAACAACCAGAAUCCAUUAAUAUCUGGGUCUGACGGUACCACUGAAGAAAGCACCGGCUAGCUCCGUG